Molecule: ribosomal RNA, 1411 nt
Filed under: Enterobacter sp. icri1
Lineage: Bacteria; Pseudomonadati; Pseudomonadota; Gammaproteobacteria; Enterobacterales; Enterobacteriaceae
Description: bacterial SSU rRNA
Rfam family: Bacterial small subunit ribosomal RNA
Source: RNAcentral
CGCAAUAAACAUCGCCCUCGCUUGCAAGAAGAAGAUUAUCUUCUGGGGCGCAGCGAGUAUAUCAUGAAUCUCUCCCCCACUUUUACGCCCUUAAUAGUUGUAUACUCUGCUCAGAUGACGCUGCGGCAGGCCUAACACAUGCAAGUCGACGUAACAGGAAGCAGCUUGCUGCUUCGCUGACGAGUGGCGGACGGGUGAGUAAUGUCUGGGAAACUGCCUGAUGGAGGGGGAUAACUACUGGAAACGGUAGCUAAUACCGCAUAAUGUCGCAAGACCAAAGAGGGGGACCUUCGGGCCUCUUGCCAUCGGAUGUGCCCAGAUGGGAUUAGCUAGUAGGUGGGGUAACGGCUCACCUAGGCGACGAUCCCUAGCUGGUCUGAGAGGAUGACCAGCCACACUGGAACUGAGACACGGUCCAGACUCCUACGGGAGGCAGCAGUGGGGAAUAUUGCACAAUGGGGCGCAAGCCUGAUGCAGCCAUGCCGCGUGUAUGAAGAAGGCCUUCGGGUUGUAAAGUACUUUCAGCGGGGAGGAAGGYGWURAGGUUAAUAACCUCAUCGAUUGACGUUACCCGCAGAAGAAGCACCGGCUAACUCCGUGCCAGCAGCCGCGGUAAUACGGAGGGUGCAAGCGUUAAUCGGAAUUACUGGGCGUAAAGCGCACGCAGGCGGUCUGUCAAGUCGGAUGUGAAAUCCCCGGGCUCAACCUGGGAACUGCAUUCGAAACUGGCAGGCUAGAGUCUUGUAGAGGGGGGUAGAAUUCCAGGUGUAGCGGUGAAAUGCGUAGAGAUCUGGAGGAAUACCGGUGGCGAAGGCGGCCCCCUGGACAAAGACUGACGCUCAGGUGCGAAAGCGUGGGGAGCAAACAGGAUUAGAUACCCUGGUAGUCCACGCCGUAAACGAUGUCGACUUGGAGGUUGUGCCCUUGAGGCGUGGCUUCCGGAGCUAACGCGUUAAGUCGACCGCCUGGRGAGUMCGGCCGCAAGGUUAAAACUCAAAUGAAUUGACGGGGGCCCGCACAAGCGGUGGAGCAUGUGGUUUAAUUCGAUGCAACGCGAAGAACCUUACCUACUCUUGACAUCCAGAGAACUUUCCAGAGAUGGCAUUGGUGCCUUCGGGAACUCUGAGACAGGUGCUGCAUGGCUGUCGUCAGCUCGUGUUGUGAAAUGUUGGGUUAAGUCCCGCAACGAGCGCAACCCUUAUCCUUUGUUGCCAGCGGUUCAGGCCGGGAACUCAAAGGAGACUGCCAGUGAUAAACUGGAGGAAGGUGGGGAUGACGUCAAGUCAUCAUGGUCCUUACGAGUAGGCUACCACCACGUGCUACAAUGCGCAUACAAAGAAGAAGCGACCUCCGCGAGAGCAGCCGACUCAUAACGUGGCGUCCGUUAGUCAGAUGAGUCUGCCAACCUCCG